Molecule: transfer RNA, 74 nt
Filed under: Patescibacteria group bacterium
Lineage: Bacteria
Description: tRNA-Val
Source: RNAcentral
GGGCGCAUGGCUCAGUUGGUUAGAGCGCUAUCCUCACACGAUAGAGGCCAACCGUUCAAAUCGGUUCAGACCCA